AGCAAAGCCACAGGAAGCAGAAGUGUCGAAUACGAAGGUCACUUUUCUGACGCUUUGAGGAUCAUUUCCUCCAGGACCCAUCAACAGAGUGAAUUCUCUGCACUGUGAUUUCCUUUCUGCUGAACAGAAAGGUGAGGGUUGGUUAGCAACUUCCAGACCACCAUCCUUCCAACCCAGAAUCUGCAGAUCUGCCUCUGAAAGUCCUGGAAUCCGUGCAUGGAAAGAGAGGAGGAGAAGACAGAGAUGAGGAAAUGUUGGGCAAGAGGACUGUGGCGUAUUUUGGAUGUUGAAGAUGCACACUAAGAGAAGGGGGCUUUGCUCCCCAGCUGUCUGUUCCCAAUAUGCUGCUAUGAAUGCCACGUGGGAAGAGAAGCACCUUGACAUGGAUGCAGUGAUGCCUGCGGUGCUAAUAGCAGAUAAGCAGUACAGAAGGGGCCAUUUCUUGAAAGCACGUGUCCUGCUCUCGUCCAGUAAAAUCGUUCAGGGCAUGUAUGGGUUAUCUGAAUCAGGAAAUAUUGGCUCCGUGUUCAAAAAUAAAGGAGAAGAAGGAAAAAGACCUGUUUUUCAUUCC
Molecule: long non-coding RNA, 571 nt
Organism: Mauremys mutica (yellowpond turtle)
Lineage: Eukaryota; Metazoa; Chordata; Testudines; Geoemydidae
Exons: 3
Source: RefSeq, a predicted model, not a curated record